This 253-nucleotide ribosomal RNA is filed under the name uncultured bacterium. RNAcentral describes it as "partial 16S ribosomal RNA". It matches the Rfam family "Bacterial small subunit ribosomal RNA", at positions 524 to 776 of the family's 1533-position model. The record is from RNAcentral.
AACGUAGGUGGCAAGCGUUAUCCGGAUUUACUGGGCGUAAAGCGUGUGCAGACGGGGCUUCAAGUGGUGUAUGAAAUCGCUCGGCUCAACCGGGCGCGGGUAUGCCAGACUGGAGUGCUAGAGGGUGCGAGAGGGACGUGGAAUUCCGGGUGUAGUGGUGAAAUGCGUAGAGAUCCGGAGGAACACCAGUGGCGAAGGCGACACGCUGGGCCGUACCUGACGCUAAGACGCGACAGCAUGGGGAGCGAACGGG